RNAcentral lists this unclassified non-coding RNA (152 nucleotides) under uncultured Hypocreales. RNAcentral's name for it is "sequence contains ITS1". Lineage: Eukaryota; Fungi; Ascomycota; Sordariomycetes; Hypocreales. The record is from RNAcentral.
CCGAGUUAUCCAAACUCCAAACCUUUGUGAACAUACCGAUCGUUGCUUCGGCAGGCGGCUCCGGGGGAGCAUAAAAGCCAUUCGUGGUGCCUGCCGAAAGCCCCAAACUCUUUACUUUAGUAAACUGCCUGAGUUAUAAAACAAACAAGUAA